UCCGGUUUGUUUCCGGCAGUCUCUUUAGAUGUGCAACUAAAGACAAGGGUUGCGCUCGUUGCGGGACUUAACCCAACAUCUCACGACACGAGCUGACGACAGCCAUGCAACAUCUGUGCAUCUGUCCUUGCGGAGGCUCCUCUUUCAAGGAGUUGCAAAUGCAUGUCAAGCCCAGGUAAGGUUCUUCGCGUCGCAUCGAAUUAAACCACACGCUCCGCUGCUUGUGCGGGUCCCCGUCAAUUCCUUUGAGUUUUAGUCUUGCGACCGUACUCCCCAGGCGGGCCACUUAAUGCGUUAGCUUCGGCACGGAAGGGGUCAACACCCCCCACACCUAGUGGCCAUCGUUUACUGCUAGGACUAC
RNAcentral lists this unclassified non-coding RNA (361 nucleotides) under uncultured Ktedonobacteria bacterium. RNAcentral's name for it is "contains 16S-23S intergenic spacer region". Lineage: Bacteria; Bacillati; Chloroflexota; Ktedonobacteria. The record is from RNAcentral.